AGAAGGGGAUGGAGGAGGAGGGGAGGGAGGAGGAGGGGAGGGAGGAGGAGGGGAGGGAGGAGGAGGCAUAAGAAGCAAAAGGCAGCACGGGCACCCACAGCAAGCACUUGACUCAUGAAGCCACCCCACCCCAAAACAUUCUCUAGCAAGUGCCAUUGUGCAGACUGUGAGAGGAAGUGGGGACAGCCUGGGUGCCCAAGGCUAAGGUUUGGAGCCGCAGGAACUUUCCGGAAGCAAACAGGGAGAGCCUCUAGGCAUCUGGCAUCCCACAAAGCUGCCUGGCUCCUCUGACCACCCUGUCACUCUCCAGGCACACACCACUGUGGUCCUCGAUGUUUGUAUUCUCUACCUUUCAUGGGUGUCCUGUUGCUCAGGGACUCCUCCCUCAUGUAUUCUUUUUUAAGAAAACCAAAAUAAAAAAAAAAAACAAGCCUCGGUGUUUCCAGCUUAGGACAUUACACUGAAGAAAUAAAUGUUUUUUGAGCACUUACUGCCAAAAAUAAAAAUAACUCCAGAAUUUUCCUUCUCAUUCUCUACAAAGAAGUCAGCCUGCUGGCAAGGAUAUCUGGGAAUUGUUAUCGACGCAGCUGCCAAGUAUGCAGUACACACGGGCUUGUCUGUACCACAGCCAGCCACUCCACCACGGUCUUCUCUGGAUCUCCAAUCAAUAGGCCGGACCCAGGGUGGAAUUCUGGGAGGCAACAUUGCCUGGAAGAGGGUAAAGCCACUGGGAAAAAAAAAAUCUGCCUUCCUGGACCCAUUCCACUUCCACCAAUCAUGGGUUCCUGUUCCUCCGUCACUGAACCUUUCCCCCUAUGGAAGUCAAAGUUAAGGGGAAGGUCUGAGCCAAUCAGGGGAGGAAGAGCUAAGAGAGCUCUGCUUUAGGAGGAAGAGUCACCAGUGCCCUAGGGGACUAGACAUAAGGUCAGGUAGCAGAAGGCUUUAGACAGCCAGCUCCUACAUGCUCGACGAGGUAUCCUGACCAUCCGUCCCCUCUCCAUUUAUUUCUGUGAGACUUUGUACAAAAGGGGGAAGAACACAAACAAGAAACAAAAAAAUCGCAUGGUAAACCUCAACAUAUACACUUGCAGACAGAGAACACCAGAAAAUGGCCCAAAACCCACUUACAAGGAAUCAGAGAUAACACAAAGUCUUGACCUCUCAGAACCAGUGGCUGUGUAGUUCCUCCCACCUGCUCAGCCAUUUCCAGUGCUACCCAGUCGGCUGCCAUGAAACAUCAGAGGGCAAAAGAAGAGUCCCUAAGGCAUAGUACCAUCCCUCAGAGAAGGGGUGGUGGGAGGGGGAGUCUCUUAAGUUUCAUGAGUUGGUCACAUGCAUUCUGGGGGUGUCUGAGAUGCCUGCCUAUCAGUCGUUCUGAGGAGACGGCGGCCGGUUUUCACUAAGGCCAGAGCAGCACUAGAGAAUGUGUACCUGUGUGCUUUCACUUCCUCCGAGGGAAAGGCCACCAACCCCUGGAGAAAGACAAAGUGAGGCCCCCGACUCCCAGCAACUGGUUUCCUGUCAGAAAGUCUGAGCCUGAGAGACCUAAGGCCUGGCUGGCUGAGCCCGCCCCAAAUAGACCUUCCUGUGUAUUUCCACAGACACUGGCACAGAGCUGCAGGUGACAAGAGAGGGUAAAGACUUGGCCAGCACUUGCCACGGUUUUCAACAACUCAAACAGAAGCCCACUAAUGAUGGCUGCUGAGUCUUUCAUUAGGUUGUUCCCAAUGGGGAGACAAGAAUUAAGAACCAAAGCGGGGAGAAAAGAAACAUUCACUCCAGAACUGGCCCUUCCCACACACCCUUUCCUGUGCAAUGGGCAAAACUGGCACUUCCUCCCAGUCAUGGGGAAAGCUCUGCUAUUCUAGCUCCUUGCCUACUCCUUCCCAAACAUCCCUGAGGGUGCCCAUCCAUGUGUUAGAUAUCAGAUAAAGUGAGGGUGCCCAUCCAUGUGUUAGAUAUCAGAUAAAGUGAGGGUGCCCAUCCAUGUGUUAGAUAUCAGAUAAAGUGAACGAGAGAAAGAGCCAGGCUCACCAGGGAGCAAGAAGAGAAGCAGGAGGCAGGCCAUCACAUAAACUGUGGGUUACAAACAAAAACGCUUUCUCUGAGGAGAAGUUCUCAGGUACCUGAGCAGGGUACACCCUAGAACUUGAGAGUACACCCUAGAACUGAAAAGCAGGGACUCCUAUACCUUAAAAGAACCUGAGUACUCUGUAGACCUCUUUGAACUGUAUUCUGUACAGCAUUUCUUUUUCUUAAUACAUUAUUAAAGGGUUUUUUUUUCUUUUUAUGCAGAGCAAAGUCCUACAGAGUUCAAUGAGGCCUGUUUAUAAAAAUAAAAACCCAGGGGGCAUCAAUAUUAAUACAGUGAAGCUAAAAAAGAUAUUGAAUAAGCAUGGUGGAGUUCAAAAACAAUGACUAAUUCAAUCCAAGCAACUAGGUCAUGCUCAGAUUCCAGUAAUUGUAAAAUUUAGAUAUAAUAAGGCAAGAACUUUGCUCCGCUUCAGUAGUCAAAAUGAAGAGCCCAUUCAAGGGCAAGUGCUUGUGGUCCGGACCCAGCAGGAGAGCUAGGACAUCUGAGUACAGGAAGCAAGCCAAGGCAGGCUCACCAUCCGUGUGAUUGGAUCUCAUCCACGAGAAAUUUUAAACCCAUGGUUGCUGGCCAAGGAUCUCCAAAAUUAAAGCAAGAGAACUCCAGCUCGGCUUCAUUCAGCCAGCUAAGCAGCUCUCGACAGAGAAUGGAGUUGAGCAAGAUCAGAAUGGGUUUUCCAUAUAAGAACACUUUAAAAAUUUUUAAUGGGAUGGAUGCUUCAGCUGAAUGGUACCAGGCAACAUGGGAAAUGGCACUCAAUGUCCCAAGGGGAGACAAAAACAAAAAAACAAAAAAAAACAUAAAAUAAUCAGUUUUUAAACCAUUGUAUGUAAAAUUGUGGGUUUACAAGAGAACCUGAAACUUUAAUGAAGUGUAAAAGGAAGUCUCCAAUUUUCUGUCCCUAAGAAGUGAAUGACUCCAUAGAAAGACAGAAAGCUACCCAAAGACUAAAGCUUCUACGAAGCUGAAACAUGUCUUAAUCACCAAGGGUAUGUCCUCUCAUAACCGAACACCCAAUCUGCCAUUUCUCCCUCGUGUCAUUGAGAUUUACUACUCGUAGUUCUUAGCAGACCUUUCAGGAUUAUGACACUUACGAAUAAAGGCUGGGAACCCCAGAAAAAAAGAUGAGCGAAAAA
This is a long non-coding RNA of Mastomys coucha (southern multimammate mouse), 3228 nucleotides long. RefSeq lists it as uncharacterized. NCBI's taxonomy places the organism in Eukaryota, Metazoa, Chordata, Mammalia, Rodentia, Muridae. The record is from RefSeq and is a predicted model, not a curated record. The transcript is spliced from 2 exons.